UCAUUGCACACACACGAAUGUUGCAGCAAACCCCGGUUUAGGCGAACCAACACAUUGUCCCCCCCCCUUAUAACUUGCGUCCCGGACUCGGGUCGGGCCUCCCUGUUCUGCUUCGGGGGUUCCUUCCUGCGCAUUUCUCCUUCCCCCCCCCUUUUUGGGGGAGAGAGGGGGACUUGGGUCGGAGGGGGCCGCGCGAGCUCGAACGCGGAAAGGUGGGUCCGGCCCCGCCCGGCGACCACCACAUUUCGGAUUGCGCGAUGCGUGAACACUUUGGCGUGUAUGACUGAGUCCCUUUAUUACACUCUGGGAAGGAGGGCGCGCGCGCUCUCUUUCCCGAGUUGUUUUGGAACAUAACCGAAAACAACUCUCAGCAACGGAUAUCUUGGCUCUUGCAACGAUGAAGAACGCAGCGAAAUGCGAUACGUAGUGUGAAUUGCAGAAUUCCGCGAAUCAUCGAGUCUUUGAACGCAAGUUGCGCCCGAGGCUUGUCCGAGGGCAUUUCCGCUAGAGCGUCACCGCGCUCCCCCACCGAUCCGCCGGGUCUCGUACUCGGGCGGAAUACCAGUCGAGUGGAAGUGGCCGUCCCGAUGGGGGGCGGCGCGGCGCGCCUCAGAAACGCGCCCCGCCGUCGAUCGGGUCGGCUGAAAUGGAGGGAAAUCGGCCGCCGUGGUGACGGAGCCCGCGAUCAGGUGAUCCGAGCGAAAGCCCGGAACUCGAACGUGCGAGGCUCUGCGUCGCCCAGUCGGGAUUCCUUUUUUUCAAAAUACAAAUGCAGGUCUGUGUGUUCGGAAAGAGGGUAAAAAACUUGGACGGGAACAACACAUGCGAGUCACGCAUCAGA
Molecule: small RNA, 841 nt
Filed under: Bartramia stricta
Lineage: Eukaryota; Viridiplantae; Streptophyta; Bryopsida; Bartramiales; Bartramiaceae
Description: eukaryotic LSU rRNA
Rfam family: 5.8S ribosomal RNA (bases 363-515)
Source: RNAcentral